Molecule: long non-coding RNA, 1174 nt
Organism: Dromaius novaehollandiae (emu)
Lineage: Eukaryota; Metazoa; Chordata; Aves; Casuariiformes; Dromaiidae
Exons: 6
Source: RefSeq, a predicted model, not a curated record
GAAAAACAGAUGUUUAAGACAUGAUUCACCUGUCCGGGGGUGAAUGCCUGGGGUGCAAUCCAUUUCAUGUUAUGACAGAAGGGUAAACAUGUAAGUUUGGACAGAUGAAUCCCAUACAGUUUAUCUGUAUGUCCCCUCAGCAUCAGGAACCAAUCUCAAGCAAGAUAAAAGAAGCAGCAGUACAAACGAAGCCCUGUAGGUAUGCCCAGAGAUAGAGACUCAGGCAUGGAAUUAAAAAAAAAAAAGUGGAAUGAUUGCUAAGCAACAGCAGGAAAGCUGCUGACAGUGAGAAGUAUUUGGCAGCAGAAAGUCUCCCCAGGGGAGGAAGGAGGAGCAGAAACACAGCCAAUGAGGAUGUUUAAAACUGGACGGGACAAACAAAAUGCUGUGGAAUGAAUCCCUGGGGUUUGUUCUGCACGAGGAACUCGCUCCUGCUCUGCAGGCUGGCUCUUCCUCACACAGAUUGGGCUCUGAACCUGGAGGAGCAGCUGUUCACCUCUGUGCUAAUGCUGAGGAAUGCGCAAAGUGAGAAGCAAGAAGACAGCAUGGUGCACUAAAGGAAAACAUCAACUAUGUCAGCCCACUCAGUUCCAGCGAUGCUCUGUUCUAGCUCUGAUCUAAACCAUAAGGAAGGAUUUCUCCCCAUUACCUGAGGAAGACUGGGGUGACUUAGACAGAAGCACUGGGAUGUGAUUCCAGAUUGGCUCUAUCUUACGGGACAAGACAUGAAGAGACUCAAACCUCCAUCCACUAGCCCCUUCAUGAGAACAGGGAUGGAAGACUGAGGCCUUCCUUUGGCACAUACCAUCUAAAGCUCCUGCUACAGUCCAGUAACGCAUUUCUCUCUGCUUGCUUGCUUGCAAGGGUUAAGAUGGAGAAAGGCUGAUGAAUGCCCUAUAUCAAAUGCAUCACUAUCUUAAAAGACAAGAACCAGACCACUGAACAAUUUAAUGCGAAGAAAGUAAAGACCUGUGUUCACCAAGAUGAAGUUAACUAUUCUUAACAUCCUGCUGAAUAAGCCUUUCUUCCUAUGGACAGGAAAAUGCAGGACACUCCUCCUGCCUAAGGUCCUACGAUGAGACUGUCUCAUUGGAUGUGCAAACAAAUUCCUUUCUGCUUACCAUCUGGAUCUUCUGCUGGCUGUAUACUCAUGUAAGGUUCACCUUUCUCCAUG